Molecule: ribosomal RNA, 525 nt
Filed under: Crenicara sp. Farias 32
Lineage: Eukaryota; Metazoa; Chordata; Actinopteri; Cichliformes; Cichlidae
Description: partial 16S large subunit ribosomal RNA
Rfam family: Bacterial large subunit ribosomal RNA
Source: RNAcentral
AGAGGUCCCGCCUGCCCAGUGACUUUAGGUUCAACGGCCGCGGUAUUUUGACCGUGCAAAGGUAGCGCAAUCACUUGUCUCUUAAAUGAAGACCUGUAUGAAUGGCAUCACGAGGGCUUAACUGUCUCCUUUCCCCAGUCAACGAAAUUGAUCUCCCCGUGCAGAAGCGGGGAUAAGCUCAUAAGACGAGAAGACCCUGUGGAGCUUAAGGCCUUGAACAGACCUCCCCUUAUUCUGUAAGCAAACACACACACAAACCCUGUCUCACGUGCCUUUGGUUGGGGCGACCGCGUGGAAACAAACCCCCGCAUGGACUGAGGAUUGAACUUUUUUACUUCUCACAACCCAGGAAAACACUCCUAAGUGCCAGAAUUUUUGACCACUCACGAUCCGGUAAUACCGAUUAAUGGACCCAGUUACCCCAGGGAUAACAGCGCAAUUUCCUUCUAGAGACCGUAUCAACAAGGAAGUUUACGACCUCGAUGUUGGAUCAGGGCAUCCUACUGGUGCAGCCGCUUAUAAGGG